AUUGUUUGGAGGGGACAGGGAGAGAAAAAAUGACAUUGAAAGUUUUUUCUUUAUUACUUCCAGAGGAAAAGAAAGUAAAAAGCACAAAAGUGGAAGCAAAAGUUAAAAAGGAAGUGAAAGAUGGAAAAGGUGAAGCAAAGACGGCCGAGAAGCUCAAGCAGGCAGAGAAUAAAACAACAGAAGUUGGGCUAAUAAAGGCCAAACCAAAAGUUAAGGAGGAGAAAGCUCUUCAAACUGUAACUAAAUCGGAAAAGAAAGGACAUAAAGAAAUGGUAUCACCUCAUCUUCUUCUAGAACAUAGUCCGAGGAAGAAGCCAGCAACUACUGAAGAAAAAGAAGGGGAAAAGAAAGCAACUCAUGUGAAGAGGGCUACCACUGAAACUAAGAAGAAAGGUAUGGUUUGGGAAAGCUUCUUAUUGGCCUCAUUCAGCUUUUAUUCCUGUGAGUGGCUCCAAUGUCAUUUUUAUUUGUUAGGUUACUCCUAUGCCUCUGGCUCUGUAAUGUCCUUCUCUUACUUUCUUACUCACUAUCUGCAGUGCACCGGCCUGCAUGUUACUUACUUCUUCAACCUCUGAUGUCUGGUGUCAUCAGUGUCUGACAUAUUCUGAAGUCUUUUCCUGACAAUAAAGACAUCCUGUUUGGUGGCUGUCCA
RNAcentral lists this long non-coding RNA (652 nucleotides) under Struthio camelus australis. RNAcentral's name for it is "lncRNA (ENSSCUG00000011359.1)". Lineage: Eukaryota; Metazoa; Chordata; Aves; Struthioniformes; Struthionidae. The record is from RNAcentral.